ACGGCUGACGACCGCAAAAGCCGCGCCGGAAAAAAUGGUUCCGGUAUCAUCAUCGUCUCAAUCGCCGUACCCUUGCUGUUCGUUCUCGGAGUUCUGGCGAUUGCUGCCGUUUACUUCAAUAAGAGAGCCAAGUCAACUCCACCACCGUCAGCGCUCGCAGCCACCGCCCGC
This 171-nucleotide long non-coding RNA is filed under the name Priapulus caudatus. Its description in RNAcentral is "uncharacterized LOC106810222, transcript variant X2". Lineage: Eukaryota; Metazoa; Priapulida; Priapulimorpha; Priapulimorphida; Priapulidae. The record is from RNAcentral.